RNAcentral lists this ribosomal RNA (127 nucleotides) under Metapochonia bulbillosa. RNAcentral describes it as "5.8S ribosomal RNA". It matches the Rfam family "5.8S ribosomal RNA", at positions 1 to 127 of the family's 154-position model. From Rfam's summary of the family: 5.8S ribosomal RNA (5.8S rRNA) is a component of the large subunit of the eukaryotic ribosome. It is transcribed by RNA polymerase I as part of the 45S precursor that also contains 18S and 28S rRNA. The record is from RNAcentral. Lineage: Eukaryota; Fungi; Ascomycota; Sordariomycetes; Hypocreales; Clavicipitaceae.
AACUUUCAACAACGGAUCUCUUGGUUCUGGCAUCGAUGAAGAACGCAGCGAAAUGCGAUAAGUAAUGUGAAUUGCAGAAUUCAGUGAAUCAUCGAAUCUUUGAACGCACAUUGCGCCCGCCAGUAUU